GAACACACCUUGCGCCCUUUGGUAUUCCGAAGGGCAUGCCUGUUUGAGUGUCAUUAAAUUCUCAACUUUGAAACAUUCUUUUGUGUGUUUCUAAAGCUUUGGACUGUGGAGGCUUGCCGGCAUCCUUGAUGUCAGCUCCUCUUAAAUGCAUUAGCAGAACCUUUAUUGUUUGAAGGACUGGCUCCAGUUUGGUAAAUCUUCUAUCUAUGCUGUUGCUGUUGACCUUUGUAUGUUUUGCUUCUAAUGGUCUUUGGACUGUCUCUGUUGAGGCAUACAAUUUUAAGCUUGACCUCAAAUCAGGUAGGACUACCCGCUGAACUUA
RNAcentral lists this unclassified non-coding RNA (322 nucleotides) under uncultured Clavariaceae. RNAcentral's name for it is "sequence contains 5.8S rRNA gene". Lineage: Eukaryota; Fungi; Basidiomycota; Agaricomycetes; Agaricales; Clavariaceae. The record is from RNAcentral.